Molecule: ribosomal RNA, 492 nt
Filed under: uncultured bacterium
Lineage: Bacteria
Description: partial 16S ribosomal RNA
Rfam family: Bacterial small subunit ribosomal RNA
Source: RNAcentral
AGUGAACGCUGGCGGUAGGCCUAACACAUGCAAGUCGAACGGCAGCACAGUAAGAGCUUGCUCUUACGGGUGGCGAGUGGCGGACGGGUGAGGAAUACAUCGGGAUCUACUUUUUCGUGGGGGAUAACGUAGGGAAACUUACGCUAAUACCGCAUACGACCUACGGGUGAAAGCAGGGGAUCUUCGGACCUUGCGCGAAUGAAUGAGCCGAUGUCGGAUUAGCUAGUUGGCGGGGUAAAGGCCCACCCAGGCGACGAUCCGUAGCUGGUCUGAGAGGAUGAUAGGCCACACUGGAACUGAGACACGGUCCAGACUCCUACGAGAGGCAGCAGUGGGGAAUAUUGGACAAUGGGCGCAAGCCUGAUCCAGCCAUACCGCGUGGGUUAAGAAGGCCUUCGGGUUGUAAAGCCCUUUUGUUGGGAAAGAAAAGCAGCAGGUUAAUACCCCGCUGUUCUGACGGUACCCAAAGAAUAAGCACCGGCUAACUUCGUG